CGGCCAGCUCCGGCAAGGGGAGGUCGACGUGAGCUCGGGCAGUGGGCUGGCCUGGGUGGGCGCGGCGAGCUCCUGCUCCGGCAAGGGGCAGGCGCGGUGAGGUCUGGCUCCGGCAAGGGGCGGGCGCAGGAGAACUCCACCUCCAACGGGGCGGCCGGAGGAGGCGCUGCAGGAGCGCGCAUGGAGGAGGGAGCGGAUCCAAACCUUCCCCCACCACCACGGCCACUGCUCCCUCGACAAGAAGCGCCACAUCCCAACAUGUACCGGGUAAAAUCCUAACACUAGCUCAUGUAUUUCUCGAUCUGACAGUGAUGGGCAUGGCCAGGGAUCUGCUUGAAGAAUGGCAAUGACGAGGUGGAACUCCUGCAUCCUCCGACCCUGGAUUUUAUUGCUGGUUUACUGGUUUUAGUUCAGAUGGAAGAUCUCCAGGAUUAGGAAGGUGAUUUCUCUCGUCAGACAAAUAUGGCAUUCAGGAUGUAAUCAGUGGUAUUUUAGGAAAGGCAUGGACAAUAUUUUUAUAGGUUCAGCGCUGGUAAUGUACAUGUUGAUUUGAAGUUAAAAGUGAAAGUGAUGAGUUGACAUGAAUUUUGUGUGACAGGCUGAUAAUGCUUCGCUCUGCUCGCUAUGGAUAUGCCGGCCGGCGCCAGCUUCUUCCUCCCCAUCGGCCAGGUGACCUUGUUGACUCCUCCCUCUUCACCGGCCAGGCCAACUCGCCGGCACCUCCCACCUCACCGGCCCAGGAGAGAUCCCCUCCCUCAAUGUCGCCGCGUCCUGUGCUCGCCGCCGUCCAUGAGCCGAUUCCGCAGUGCAGAUGAGCCUGAAGUUGGCCACUUUUGGCAUAUGUGAUAAUAUGCAUUUCUCCUAUAAAUGUUCUAACACUACUCGGCCAUACAAGGGCUCUGAGAGGGCCAAAGCGGGUCAAGUUUUCUCCCGGAAUGUUGAUCAACCAGAGCCAUGACGACGGGGGCGGGGAGGUUAUCACUUGGAAGAUCUCGCCGGUGAACGACCGCCUUCGCACCAGGCACUUGCCAGGAAUGGCGCUUCAUCCGUGCUCAAACAACGAGAAACAUUCCUCGCUCGAGGCUAUGAAGAAGUGGCAUUCAUCUCCAUUGGGCCUGUCGAGGUGUACUGCUUCAGCGCGCAAUCCGAAUGCGUGUGGUAUAGGCCCAGGUGGCUGUGAUGGUAUGGAGGAUACCCAGAGUCCCUUCCGGACGCCACCAUCGCUGCCCUAUAGCACUGAGCAGUUGACCGCUGGUAUCAAUGGUAAUGGAGGACCCGACCUAAUCAGCAGACCUCUCCACCCUUCAGGUAUGCCGGCGUUUUGUGAUGAGAUGCGAGGUUGGAUGGAGCUUUGAGGGCAUCCAGUUUGGUGGCGACACACCACAUCUAUUUAUUCUUCCCCAAUUACACUGCUGUUUUGAUUCUCAUGUGUGGAGAUGGAUGUGAAUUACCUAGAGGAAGUGGUUACAACAUCCGUCUGAAAGAUGCAGCAGGCACAAUAUAAGUUACUGGUUUGUAGUUAUGCAAAUAAACUAGACCGAUCUUCUCGACUACAGGAGCCGCCCCCGGAGGAGGGUGAUGGCAUGCCAGUGAAGCUAGCUGGGCAUUUAAAGUUCAUGCUUACAUUGGCAAACCAUAUUCAGCAUUAUUGGGUCCAAAGCUGGUAGUAAAGAUGGUGUAGCGGCGAAGAAACCAAAGCGGUAUAAAGUUCUGUUCUGCAUAGCCUUUUCUUCAUGGAUAGUUUCUAUUGUGAGUUCUGCUCACAGCCUCACAGGGCUAGGUGGAGAGCUUAUUAGUAUCUUAGUAGUGCUCACUACCUCGAUGUCUUGACGCACACUACUACUCUGUUGGUUCUCUGCUUAAAUGAGGCAUCAAAUAUUCACUCUGCCAAAGUAGUGAAUAUAUGAAUGGUAUUCUUGAUUAGGGUAUUUCUCAAUAUCUCUCUGCUGAUUUAGUCAAUAACUAUAGUAGCCUGACAAUUAGUCCUUGGUGAAGGUAAUUUACCUCUUCCUCAUUACAUAUCUGGAUACAUGUGGUGGUUGCAUUCCUUUACUAAAGCUUGGUAUUUUUGUGUCUCCGGUGAAGCUCCGGUGGAUGGCGGUGAGAUGCAUGGCAUUUCUUCAGAGCCUUAUAUGCAUCGUUAUGAUUAUGCAUGAUUUAUAGUGUGUUCCAACCAGAGUUGUUCCUUUAUUGGCUA
Molecule: non-coding RNA, 2197 nt
Organism: Lolium perenne
Lineage: Eukaryota; Viridiplantae; Streptophyta; Magnoliopsida; Poales; Poaceae
Source: RefSeq, a predicted model, not a curated record